This 1232-nucleotide long non-coding RNA is filed under the name Sarcophilus harrisii (Tasmanian devil). Its description in RNAcentral is "lncRNA (ENSSHAG00000031024.1)". Lineage: Eukaryota; Metazoa; Chordata; Mammalia; Dasyuromorphia; Dasyuridae. The record is from RNAcentral.
UGGAAACUGAGUGAAUGCCCAUCAAUUUGACAAUGGCUGAAUAAAUUAUGGUAUAGGAAUGUAAUGGAAAAUUAUUGUUCUAUAAGAAAUGACUAGCAGGAUGAUUUCAGAGAGGCCUGGAGAGACUUACAUGAACUGAUGCUAAAUGCAAUGAUAGGACUAAGAGAACAUUGUACAUGGCAACAAGAAGAAUAUGUGAUGAUCAAUUCUGAUGGACUUGGCUUUUCAAAAAUGAGGUGAUUCAGACCAAUUCCAAUAGACUUGUGAUGGAGAGAGCCAUCUGCAUCUAGAAAGGGAACUGUGGGGACUGAGUGUGGAUCACAACAUAGCAUUUUCACUUUUUGAUGUUGUUUUCUUGCAUUUUGUUUUCUUUCUCAUUUUUUAAUCUGAUUUUUCUUGUGCAGCAUAGACGAAUUGCACAUGUUUAACAUAUAUUGGAUGACUUACUGGCUAGGAGAGGAAGUGGGGGGAAGGGAGAGAAAAAAAUUGGAAUAUAAGUUUUUGCAAGGAUGAAUGUUGAAAACUAUCGUUGUACAUAUUUUGAAAAUAAAAGACUUAUUUUUUUUCUUUUUUGUUUGUUUUUUAAUUAAAGCUUUUAAUUUACAAAAAUCUUAUGUUCCAAAUUUUCCCCUCCUUCCCCCAACCUUCUCCUAGAUGGCAGAUAAUCCUAUGACAUGUUAAAUAUAUUAAAAUAUAUAUUAAAUCCAAUAUAUGUAUACAUAUUUAUACAAUUAUCUUGCUGUAUAAGAAAAAAUUGGAUCAAGAAGGAAAAAAACUGAGAAAGAAAACAAAAUGCAAGCAAACAACAACAGAAAGAAUGAAAAUGCUAUGUUGUGGUCCACACUCAAUUCCUUCUCUCUGGCUCUCUUCAUCACAAGAUUAUUGGAUCUGAUUUGAAUCAUCUCACUGUUGAAAAGAGCCACAUCCAUCAGAAUUGAUCAUCAUAAAAUCUCGUUGUUGCCAUGUACAAUGAUCUCGUGGGUCUGCUUAUUUAGCAUCAGUUCAUAUAAGUCUCUCCAGGCCUCUCUGAAAUCAUCCUGCUGAUUGUUUGUUAUAGAACCAUAAUAUUCCAUAACAUUGAUAUAUAAUAAUUUAUUCAGCCAUUCUCCAACUUGAUGGGCAUCCACUGAAUUUCCAGUUUCUUGCUACUACAAAAAGGGCUGAAAAGGCUAUUUUUUAAAAAGAGAGUUAAUAUAGCCUCCUCCACUACUCUAUGUGUCACUUCCCUCCCC